Rhinichthys klamathensis goyatoka is the source of this 825-nucleotide long non-coding RNA. RefSeq lists it as uncharacterized. The record is from RefSeq and is a predicted model, not a curated record. NCBI's taxonomy places the organism in Eukaryota, Metazoa, Chordata, Actinopteri, Cypriniformes, Leuciscidae. The transcript is spliced from 3 exons.
UUAGAAAAAAAGAAAGAUAGAUUAGUUAGAAAGAAAGAUAGAUAGAUUUGUUAGAAUGAAAGAAAGAUAGAUUAGUUAGAAAGAAAGAUAGAUAGAUUAGUUAGAAAGAAAGAACGAUAGAUUAGUUAGAAAGAAAGAUGGAUAGAUUAGUUAGAAAGAAAGAUAGAUUAAUUAGUUAGAAAGAAAGAUAGAUAGAUUAGUUAGAAAGAAAGAACGAUAGAUUAGUUAGAAAGAAAGAUGGAUAGAUUAAUUAGUUAGAAAGAAAGAACGAUAGAUUAGUUAGAAAGAAAGAUAGAUUAGUUAGAAAGAAAGAUAGAUUAGUUAGAAAGAAAGAUAGAUUAGUUAGAAAGAAAGAAAGAAAGAAAGAUUAGUUAGAAAGAAAGAUAGAUAGAUUAGUUAGAAAGAUAGAUAGAUAGAUAGAUAGAUAGAUAGAUAGAUAGAUAAGUUCAUUAGUACAUAUAGAAUGGUAGUUUAAUUGAGUCUAGGGCUUCAGGGAGUUUAGAUUUGAGUUGUGUUGUACACUACUGGGCCACCGUAGUCUUGGCUCAAUUUGAACAUGUUCGAAUGAAAGUCAAUGGGAUUUUUAUGGUUUUUAAUAUUAAUUUUUAAGAAAUCUGAAAGUCAAAUCAGUCUGAAAAGAUAUAGCACACUAAGUCAGAACAGUCUGAAGGUCUGACCCGAGUUUGGAGUUUGUAGAGUUAAAGCUCUAGGAGGAGUAGCAGUCAGAAAAUUUUGGGUCAGAAGAAUAAGAAUAACUAGAAUGUACAUUUCCAGAAGAAAAUGUGAAGUGGUGCUUGCAGUGGCAAAACUCGCCGCUCGGUUGCU